CACGUAGGGUCCGAGCGUUGUCCGGAAUUAUUGGGCGUAAAGAGCUCGUAGGCGGUUUGUCGCGUCUGCUGUGAAAUCCCGAGGCUCAACCUCGGGCCUGCAGUGGGUACGGGCAGACUGGAGUGCGGUAGGGGAGAAUGGAAUUCCUGGUGUAGCGGUGAAAUGCGCAGAUAUCAGGAGGAACACCAGCGGCGAAGGCGGCGCUCUGGGCUGGCACUGACACUGAGGAGCGAAAGCGUGGGGAGCGAACAGG
RNAcentral lists this ribosomal RNA (253 nucleotides) under uncultured bacterium. RNAcentral's name for it is "partial 16S ribosomal RNA". It matches the Rfam family "Bacterial small subunit ribosomal RNA", at positions 524 to 776 of the family's 1533-position model. The record is from RNAcentral.